AGAGUUUGAUCCUGGCUCCGAACGAACGUUGGCGGCAGGCUUAACACAUGCAAGUCGGAGGUGAGCCGGGACUUCCGUCCCGGGGAAACUGGCGCACGGGUGAGUAACGCGUGGGAAUCUACCCCGGGGUGGGGAAUAACCGCUGGAAACGGCGGCUAAUACCGCAUACGCCUUGAGAGGGAAAGCUUUAUGCGCCCUGGGAUGAGCCCGCGUCCGAUUAGCUUGUUGGUGAGGUAACGGCUCACCAAGGCUUCCAUCCGUAGCUGGUCUGAGAGGAUGAUCAGCCACACUGGGACUGAGACACGGCCCAGACUCCUACGGGAGGCAGCAGUGGGGAAUAUUGGACAAUGGGGGCAACCCUGAUCCAGCCAUGUCGCGUGCGUGAAGAAGGCCUUAGGGUUGUAAAGCGCUUUCAGCGGGGAAGAUGAUGACGGUACCCGCAGAAGAAGCCCCGGCUAACUCCGUGCCAGCAGCCGCGGUAAUACGGAGGGGGCAAACGUUGUUCGGAAUUACUGGGCGUAAAGGGCGCGUAGGCGGAUUAUCAAGUCAGAGGUGAAAGCCCUGGGCUCAACCUAGGAACUGCCUUUGAAACUGAUAGUCUUGAGUCCGAGAGAGGAUGGCGGAAUUCCCAGUGUAGAGGUGAAAUUCGUAGAUAUUGGGAAGAACACCAGUGGCGAAGGCGGCCAUCUGGCUCGGUAC
Molecule: ribosomal RNA, 699 nt
Filed under: uncultured bacterium
Lineage: Bacteria
Description: bacterial SSU rRNA
Rfam family: Bacterial small subunit ribosomal RNA
Source: RNAcentral